AGAGCAGGCCGAGACGACCGCGGGCAUCAUACGGGUAACACCCGAUGCGUGAGGAAAGUCCGGGCUCCACAGGACAAGGGUGCCGGAUAACGUCCGGUGAAGGUAACUUUAAGGAAAGUGCAACAGAAAAGAAAACCGCCCUUGUGUUCUCCGGAACACGAAGGUAAGGAUGAAAAGGCGAGGUAAGAGCUCACCGGCGGUAUGGAGACAUACCGGCCUUGUAAACCCCACCCGGAGCAAUGUCGUGGAAUGGUAUCAACCGCUGUCCGCGGGCCAUGAGGAGACAGCUGGAAUGUUGUGGCAACACAACAUCUGGAUAGAUGGUCGUCAUAUACAGAACCCGGCUUACCGACCUGCUUUACGA
Molecule: RNase P RNA, 364 nt
Filed under: Clostridiales bacterium
Lineage: Bacteria; Bacillati; Bacillota; Clostridia; Eubacteriales
Description: RNase P RNA component class A
Rfam family: Bacterial RNase P class A
About the family: Ribonuclease P (RNase P) is a ubiquitous endoribonuclease, found in archaea, bacteria and eukarya as well as chloroplasts and mitochondria. Its best characterised activity is the generation of mature 5'-ends of tRNAs by cleaving the 5'-leader elements of precursor-tRNAs. Cellular RNase Ps are ribonucleoproteins.
Source: RNAcentral